This 429-nucleotide ribosomal RNA is filed under the name bacterium. RNAcentral describes it as "partial 16S ribosomal RNA". It matches the Rfam family "Bacterial small subunit ribosomal RNA", at positions 355 to 776 of the family's 1533-position model. The record is from RNAcentral.
UAGGGAAUCUUCCACAAUGGACGCAAGUCUGAUGGAGCAACGCCGCGUGAGUGAAGAAGGUUUUCGGAUCGUAAAGCUCUGUUGUUGGUGAAGAAGGAUAGAGGCAGUAACUGGUCUUUAUUUGACGGUAAUCAACCAGAAAGUCACGGCUAACUACGUGCCAGCAGCCGCGGUAAUACGUAGGUGGCAAGCGUUGUCCGGAUUUAUUGGGCGUAAAGCGAGCGCAGGCGGAAUGAUAAGUCUGAUGUGAAAGCCCACGGCUCAACCGUGGAACUGCAUCGGAAACUGUCAUUCUUGAGUGCAGAAGAGGAGAGUGGAAUUCCAUGUGUAGCGGUGGUAUGCGUAGAUAUAUGGAAGAACACCAGUGGCGAAGGCGGCUCUCUGGUCUGCAACUGACGCUGAGGCUCGAAAGCAUGGGUAGCGAACAGG